This 345-nucleotide unclassified non-coding RNA is filed under the name Basidiomycota sp. RNAcentral describes it as "partial contains small subunit ribosomal RNA, internal transcribed spacer 1, and 5.8S ribosomal RNA". The stretch from base 1 to 47 matches the Rfam family "Eukaryotic small subunit ribosomal RNA", at positions 1785 to 1831 of the family's 1831-position model. The record is from RNAcentral. Lineage: Eukaryota; Fungi; Basidiomycota.
AAAGUCGUAACAAGGUUUCCGUAGGUGAACCUGCGGAAGGAUCAUUAUUGAAUAAACUUGAUGGGUUGUUGCUGGCUCUUAGGAGCAUGUGCACGCCUGUCAUAUUUAUCCAUCCACCUGUGCACCUUAUGUAGUCUUUGGGGAUAACGAGCGUGAAACUAUCGAGGAUAACUCCCUCGGAAAAGAGGUCUGCUGCGCGUAAGCGUGGCUGACCUUGUGCUCGCGCGAGUUUCUCCCGAGUCUAUGUCUUUCAUAUACCACAUAGAAUGUCUUUGAAUGUAUUUCAUUGGGCCUCAGUGCCUAUAUAACACAAUACAACUUUCAGCAACGGAUCUCUUGGCUCUC